RNAcentral lists this non-coding RNA (161 nucleotides) under chicken gut metagenome. RNAcentral describes it as "Lysine riboswitch". It matches the Rfam family "Lysine riboswitch aptamer". Rfam says of the family: Riboswitches are metabolite binding domains within certain messenger RNAs that serve as precision sensors for their corresponding targets. The record is from RNAcentral.
AUGUUAGAGGUGCGUAUUUAAUUAGUAGCCUGUCCCAGGGCGCACGGCCCGAUGAAGCCAGGCAAAAGGUAACUACGCCGAAAGAACCGUGUUGUGCGGCGCGGCUCUUGGUUGUGCAGCAAACAGCUGCCCGACUGUCAUCCUUGCCGAUGGAGUGCUAA